RNAcentral lists this ribosomal RNA (379 nucleotides) under uncultured bacterium. RNAcentral describes it as "bacterial SSU rRNA". It matches the Rfam family "Bacterial small subunit ribosomal RNA", at positions 134 to 507 of the family's 1533-position model. The record is from RNAcentral.
UAGUGGGGGACAACGUUUCGAAAGGAACGCUAAUACCGCAUACGUCCUACGGGAGAAAGCGAGGGGACCUUCGGGCCUUGCGCUAUCAGAUGAGCCUAGGUCGGAUUAGCUAGUAGGUGAGGUAAUGGCUCACCUAGGCGACGAUCCGUAACUGGUCUGAGAGGAUGAUCAGUCACACUGGAACUGAGACACGGUCCAGACUCCUACGGGAGGCAGCAGUGGGGAAUAUUGGACAAUGGGCGAAAGCCUGAUCCAGCCAUGCCGCGUGUGUGAAGAAGGUCUUCGGAUUGUAAAGCACUUUAAGUUGGGAGGAAGGGCAGUAAGUUAAUACCUUGCUGUUUUGACGUUACCAACAGAAUAAGCACCGGCUAACUUCGUG